This 440-nucleotide ribosomal RNA is filed under the name uncultured bacterium. RNAcentral's name for it is "partial 16S ribosomal RNA". It matches the Rfam family "Bacterial small subunit ribosomal RNA", at positions 338 to 795 of the family's 1533-position model. The record is from RNAcentral.
CCUACGGGAGGCAGCAGUGGGGAAUAUUGCACAAUGGGGGAAACCCUGAUGCAGCGACGCCGCGUGAGUGAUGAAGUAUCUCGGUAUGGUAAGCUGUAUCAGUAGGGAAGUAACUGACGGUACCUGUUUAAGUAGCCCCGUACAAUUCCGUGCCAGCAGCCGCGGUAAUACGUAGGGGGCAAGGGUUAUCCGGAUUUACUGGGUGUAAAGGGAGCGUAGACGGCAGGACAAGUGUGUAGUGAAAUGCCGGGGCUUAACCCGGGCACUGCUGUGGGAACUGUGCAGCUUGAGUGCGGGGAAGGCAGGUGGAAUUCGUAGUGUAGCGGUGAAAUGCUUAGAUAUUAGGAAGAACCCCGGUGGCGAAGGCAGCUUGCUGGAGUGUAACUGACGUUGAGGCUCGAAAGCGUGGGGAGCGAACAGGAUUAGAUACCCGAGUAGUC